RNAcentral lists this transfer RNA (67 nucleotides) under Tortula bolanderi. Its description in RNAcentral is "partial tRNA-Leu". The record is from RNAcentral. Lineage: Eukaryota; Viridiplantae; Streptophyta; Bryopsida; Pottiales; Pottiaceae. RNAcentral also lists the same sequence under 1 other name.
UAGACGCUGCGGACUUGAAAAUCCGUUGGCUUUAUUGACCGUGAGGGUUCAAGUCCCUCUACCCCCA